CCUGUGAGGCAUGCUGGAGGUAUCAGAAGUGCGAAUGCUGACAUAAGUAACGAUAAAGCGGGUGAAAAGCCCGCUCGCCGGAAGACCAAGGGUUCCUGUCCAACGUUAAUCGGGGCAGGGUGAGUCGACCCCUAAGGCGAGGCCGAAAGGCGUAGUCGAUGGGAAACGGGUUAAUAUUCCCGUACUUGGUGUUACUGCGAAGGGGGGACGGAGAAGGCUAUGUUGGCCGGGCGACGGUUGUCCCGGUUUAAGCGUGUAGGUGUGUGUUCCAGGUAAAUCCGGUUCACUUUAACACUGAGGCGUGACGACGAGGCACUACGGUGCUGAAGCAACAAAUGCCCUGCUUCCAGGAAAAGCCUCUAAGCAUCAGGUAACACGAAAUCGUACCCCAAACCGACACAGGUGGUCAGGUAGAGAAUACCAAGGCGCUUGAGAGAACUCGGGUGAAGGAACUAGGCAAAAUGGUGCCGUAACUUCGGGAGAAGGCACGCUGACACGUAGGUGAAGUGAUUUACUCAUGGAGCUGAAGUCAGUCGAAGAUACCAGCUGGCUGCAACUGUUUAUUAAAAACACAGCACUGUGCAAACACGAAAGUGGACGUAUACGGUGUGACGCCUGCCCGGUGCCGGAAGGUUAAUUGAUGGGGUCAGCGCAAGCGAAGCUCCUGAUCGAAGCCCCGGUAAACGGCGGCCGUAACUAUAACGGUCCUAAGGUAGCGAAAUUCCUUGUCGGGUAAGUUCCGACCUGCACGAAUGGCGUAAUGAUGGCCAGGCUGUCUCCACCCGAGACUCAGUGAAAUUGAACUCGCUGUGAAGAUGCAGUGUACCCGCGGCAAGACGGAAAGACCCCGUGAACCUUUACUAUAGCUUGACACUGAACAUUGAGCCUUGAUGUGUAGGAUAGGUGGGAGGCUUUGAAGUGUGGACGCCAGUCUGCAUGGAGCCGACCUUGAAAUACCACCCUUUAAUGUUUGAUGUUCUAACGUGGACCCGUAAUCCGGGUUGCGGACAGUGUCUGGUGGGUAGUUUGACUGGGGCGGUCUCCUCCUAAAGAGUAACGGAGGAGCACGAAGGUUGGCUAAUCCUGGUCGGACAUCAGGAGGUUAGUGCAAUGGCAUAAGCCAGCUUGACUGCGAGCGUGACGGCGCGAGCAGGUGCGAAAGCAGGUCAUAGUGAUCCGGUGGUUCUGAAUGGAAGGGCCAUCGCUCAACGGAUAAAAGGUACUCCGGGGAUAACAGGCUGAUACCGCCCAAGAGUUCAUAUCGACGGCGGUGUUUGGCACCUCGAUGUCGGCUCAUCACAUCCUGGGGCUGAAGUAGGUCCCAAGGGUAUGGCUGUUCGCCAUUUAAAGUGGUACGCGAGCUGGGUUUAGAACGUCGUGAGACAGUUCGGUCCCUAUCUGCCGUGGGCGCUGGAGAACUGAGGGGGGCUGCUCCUAGUACGAGAGGACCGGAGUGGACGCAUCACUGGUGUUCGGGUUGUCAUGCCAAUGGCACUGCCCGGUAGCUAAAUGCGGAAGAGAUAAGUGCUGAAAGCAUCUAAGCACGAAACUUGCCCCGAGAUGAGUUCUCCCUGAGACUU
Molecule: ribosomal RNA, 1580 nt
Filed under: Salmonella enterica subsp. enterica serovar Typhimurium var. 5-
Lineage: Bacteria; Pseudomonadati; Pseudomonadota; Gammaproteobacteria; Enterobacterales; Enterobacteriaceae
Description: bacterial LSU rRNA
Rfam family: Bacterial large subunit ribosomal RNA
Source: RNAcentral